This 389-nucleotide ribosomal RNA is filed under the name uncultured bacterium. Its description in RNAcentral is "bacterial SSU rRNA". It matches the Rfam family "Bacterial small subunit ribosomal RNA", at positions 29 to 430 of the family's 1533-position model. The record is from RNAcentral.
AUUGAACGCUGGCGGCAUGGCUAAAACAUGCAAGUCGAACGGACCCGCAAGGGUUAGUGGCGGAAGGGUGAGUAACAGUAUCGAACGUACCCCGAGGUGUGGGAUAGGCAUGGGAAACUGUGCGUAAUACCACAUGAUCUCGAGAGAGCAAAGCCCGCCCCUUAGAAGGGUGGGCGCCUUGGGAGCGGCGAUAUUCCUAUCAGGUAGUUGGCGGGGUAAAGGCCCACCAAGCCGAAGACGGGUAGCCGGUGUGAGAGCACGGCCGGCCACAUCGAGACUGAGACACGGCCCAGACUCCUACGGGAGGCAGCAGGUGGGGAAUAUUGCACAAUGGGCGCAAGCCUGAUGCAGCGACGCCGCGUGAGGGAUGACGGCCUUCGGUUGUAACC